UGACCCCAAAAGGGACCCAGGUCCUAAAGGUGACCCCAAAAAGGGAUCCAGGUCCUAAAGGUGACCCCAAAAGGGACGCAGGUCUUAAAGGUGACCCCAAAAGGGACCCAGGUGACCCUAAAAGGGAUCCAGGUCCUAAAGGUGACCCUAUAAUGACCCUAAAUGACCCCAAAAUGGUCCGAAAUGACCCCAAAAGGGCCCUAGGUGACCCUAAAAGGGAUCCAGGUCUUAAACAUGACCCCAAAAGGGAUCCAGGUCCUAAAAGUGACCCCAAAAGGGAUCCAGGUCCUAAAGGUGACCCCAAAAAGGGACCCAGGUGACCCUAAAAGGGAUCCAGGUCCUAAAUGUGACGCUAUAAUGGCCCUAUAUGAUCCCAAAAGAGUCCUAAAUGACCCCAAAAGGGAUCCAGGUCCUAAAGGUGACCCUAAAACGGCCCUAAAUGACCCCAAAUGGGAUCCAGGUCCUAAGGUGACCCCAAAAGGGAUCCAGGUCCUAAAGGUGACCCCAAAAAGGACCCAGGUGACCCUAAAAGGGAUCCAGGUCCUAAAGGUGACCCCAAAAAAGCCCUAAAUGACCCCAAAAGGGAUCCAGGUCCUAAACAUGACCCCAAAAGAGCCCUAAAUGACCCCAAAAGGGAUCCAGGACCUAAAGGUGACCCCAAAAGAGCCCUAAAUGACCCCAAAAGGGAUCCAGGUCCUAAAGGUGACCCCAAAAAGGCCCUAAAUGACCCCGACCCCCCCCCAAAAUGUUUUAGGGUCGCACCGAGGACGCGGAUCUCGACGGGGCCGCAGCCGUUGAGC
RNAcentral lists this long non-coding RNA (800 nucleotides) under Numida meleagris (helmeted guineafowl). RNAcentral describes it as "lncRNA (ENSNMEG00000002321.1)". The record is from RNAcentral. Lineage: Eukaryota; Metazoa; Chordata; Aves; Galliformes; Numididae.